UACGGAGGAUGCAAGCGUUAUCCGGAUUUAUUGGGUUUAAAGGGUGCGCAGGUUGUUUGAUAAGUCAGUGGUGAAAGUCUGUCGCUUAACGGUAGGAUUGCCAUUGAUACUGUUGGACUUGAAUAUGGAUGAGGUAGGGGGAAUGUGUAGUGUAGCGGUGAAAUGCAUAGAUAUUACACAGAACACCGAUUGCGAAGGCAGCUUACUAAUCCAUCAUUGACGCUGAGGCACGAAAGCGUGGGGAUCAAACAGGA
RNAcentral lists this ribosomal RNA (254 nucleotides) under uncultured prokaryote. Its description in RNAcentral is "partial 16S ribosomal RNA". It matches the Rfam family "Bacterial small subunit ribosomal RNA", at positions 524 to 777 of the family's 1533-position model. The record is from RNAcentral.